Molecule: long non-coding RNA, 462 nt
Organism: Parasteatoda tepidariorum (common house spider)
Lineage: Eukaryota; Metazoa; Arthropoda; Arachnida; Araneae; Theridiidae
Source: RefSeq, a predicted model, not a curated record
AAUACGGUAUAAUCAUGGCACAGUUAGAUAGGUUCAUACAAUUGCCUGAGUUUCGAAAUGUUUCCUAAACUCUUCACUCUCCUCUUCGUAGUUUUGGCUCUUAUGGCUACUGCCAUGGCUGGAGUCCACAAAGUACGAUAUGACCAAGAACCUCAAGAGAAACGAAUGGGAAUUUUGGGUGGUAUCAAGGAAAUGGCUGAUGAUGUACUCAGUACUGCUGGAGUUCACAACCAAUAAUUUGAUUGCUAAUUGUUGAAAUUUAAGCCGUAAAAAUGGGCUUUACAAAAAAAAAGAAAAAAAAAGAAAUUAACAACGUAAUGUAAUCAAAAAAGCUUAAAAUUAAAACUAAUUCAAGCCCUUUUGUUUAAUGUUUGUCCAGCUUGCAUUAUACUUACCACUCAUUAUAUAAACCAUUAUUUUGGAUAAUAUUGUGAAAUUAAAUAAAGUAUAUUUAUUUGUAAA